CACACACCGAAGUACUUUGCACAAUGCCCGGCUUCUAGCAGGUGUUCCGGAACCGGAACACCUGCUAGAAGCCGGGCAUUGUGCAAAGUACUUCGGUGCAUUG
This 103-nucleotide microRNA precursor is filed under the name Felis catus (domestic cat). RNAcentral describes it as "mir-130 microRNA precursor family". It matches the Rfam family "mir-130 microRNA precursor family". Rfam says of the family: The hairpin precursors (represented here) are predicted based on base pairing and cross-species conservation -- their extents are not known. In this case the mature sequence is excised from the 3' arm of the hairpin. The record is from Rfam by way of RNAcentral. Lineage: Eukaryota; Metazoa; Chordata; Mammalia; Carnivora; Felidae.